GACGAACGCUGGCGGCGUGCUUAACACAUGCAAGUCGAACGGAAAGGCCCUGCUUUUGUGGGGUGCUCGAGUGGCGAACGGGUGAGUAACGCGUGAGUAACCUGCCCUUGACUUUGGGAUAACUUCAGGAAACUGGGGCUAAUACCGGAUAGGAGCUCCUGCUGCAUGGUGGGGGUUGGAAAGUUUCGGCGGUUGGGGAUGGACUCGCGGCUUAUCAGCUUGUUGGUGGGGUAGUGGCUUACCAAGGCUUUGACGGGUAGCCGGCCUGAGAGGGUGACCGGCCAAAUUGGGCUGUGGAAACGGCCAAGAUCCCUAGGGGGGGCAGGGGGGGGGAAAUUUGAAAAAGGGGGGGAGGCCUGAGGCAGCAAGGCCGGGUGGGGGAUGGGGGCCUUGGGGUGUUAAACCGCUUUCGCUGGUAACGAAGGGGGAUGGACGGUAAUGGUAAAAGAAGCAAGGCCGAACAACG
This 466-nucleotide ribosomal RNA is filed under the name uncultured bacterium. RNAcentral's name for it is "partial 16S ribosomal RNA". It matches the Rfam family "Bacterial small subunit ribosomal RNA", at positions 28 to 505 of the family's 1533-position model. The record is from RNAcentral.